This 422-nucleotide ribosomal RNA is filed under the name uncultured Porphyromonas sp. RNAcentral's name for it is "bacterial SSU rRNA". It matches the Rfam family "Bacterial small subunit ribosomal RNA", at positions 355 to 774 of the family's 1533-position model. Lineage: Bacteria; Pseudomonadati; Bacteroidota; Bacteroidia; Bacteroidales; Porphyromonadaceae. The record is from RNAcentral.
UGAGGAAUAUUGGUCAAUGGGCGAGAGCCUGAACCAGCCAAGUCGCGUGAAGGAUGACUGUCUUAUGGAUUGUAAACUUCUUUUGUAGGGGAAUAAAGAACGGUACGUGUACCGUAGUGAAUGUACCCUACGAAUAAGCAUCGGCUAACUCCGUGCCAGCAGCCGCGGUAAUACGGAGGAUGCGAGCGUUAUCCGGAUUUAUUGGGUUUAAAGGGUGCGUAGGCGGCCUGUUAAGUCAGCGGUGAAAUCUAGGAGCUUAACUCCUAAAUUGCCAUUGAUACUGGCGGGCUUGAGUGUAGAUGAGGUAGGCGGAAUGCGUGGUGUAGCGGUGGAAUGCAUAGAUAUCACGCAGAACUCCGAUUGCGAAGGCAGCUUACUAAGGUACAACUGACGCUGAAGCACGAAAGCGUGGGUAUCAAACA